AACCAUAGAAACCUGCGGAGUACCUGCGGAGGGAUCAUUCAAGGAUUAUUAUAUUGUUGUAUAUAUGAAGGGUUGUUUUACAUGUGGUGUUUUAACUGGGUGUAACACACCUUUUAUAUAUACACAAUAUUACUUUUACACCUAACUAAUGUUUUGUGGGGGGUGGUGAGUAGGUAGGAGUCAUUGAUAAAGAGAUGUUUUACAGCUUUGUUUGUAAUGCAUCUUUUUUCAAAGGCUUUU
This 240-nucleotide unclassified non-coding RNA is filed under the name soil metagenome. RNAcentral's name for it is "partial contains 5.8S ribosomal RNA, internal transcribed spacer 2, and large subunit ribosomal RNA". The record is from RNAcentral.